This 91-nucleotide non-coding RNA is filed under the name human gut metagenome. RNAcentral describes it as "PGK RNA". It matches the Rfam family "PGK RNA". Rfam says of the family: mammalian gut metagenomes. Environment (Cow rumen (57)) The record is from RNAcentral.
AGAAUUCUUAUCGGCACUAAGCAUAAACAAUUGUUAUGGAGAAAGGAAAACUCCAAGGAUAAGAAACUGGGCUAAAUACUGAUAAUAUUUA